Long non-coding RNA from Rhododendron vialii, 455 nucleotides. RefSeq lists it as uncharacterized. The record is from RefSeq and is a predicted model, not a curated record. Lineage: Eukaryota; Viridiplantae; Streptophyta; Magnoliopsida; Ericales; Ericaceae. The transcript has 2 exons.
UGUCUGCCACCAUUGAUCAAUAAUGUAUGUGUUUGAAUAGCUAAGUGGCUCGGCUGGUAGUUAUAUGCGUGUGGUUGAAGUUCCAGCUUUUUACAUAGUUUUCUCACAUGAAUAGUUAUGUUCCACAAUCGCGCACGGAUUGGUAUAUGUCGUUCGCCAAUUGGUCAUGGUAUGUGUUCGCUGUUGGGAGCAAAAGGGUAUAAACUCGGCAAAAAAGUAAGCUUCAAAUAAAGAACAUCUCCGUGGGUGAAGAAUUAGGGUACUUGAAUGAGAUGACGGCCUAGUUUAGGAUUACAUUUUCUGGAAAGAGAGAUUACAUUAGUGUUUUUUUUAUGAGUGUAAUUAGUCUGACUCUUAAAUGUAGUUUGUGCUGAAAAAUUAUUCUUCAAGCUAUUGUAAUGAAUCGUCGGUUGAAUUAUUUAUCUUACAUUGAAAUUGUAUCGCGUUUGGAUGUA